RNAcentral lists this long non-coding RNA (450 nucleotides) under Bos indicus x Bos taurus (hybrid cattle). RNAcentral describes it as "lncRNA (ENSBIXG00005030337.1)". Lineage: Eukaryota; Metazoa; Chordata; Mammalia; Artiodactyla; Bovidae. The record is from RNAcentral.
AUGACAGCAAGGCUGGAUUGGAACCCAAAUCCCAGGACCCCUGGGCCUAUGCCCUGGCCAGAGAUCCCCCUGAGAAGCAAUUCAACUGCAAGGGCAAGAACACCGUGGCACCGGGAACCCAGAGGGGAAGUGGUGACAGGCACGGAAGACCAGAGCUCCCCACACUCACUCAUCUGUGAGAAACCAGAUGAGCGAGGAAGCUGGUUUGAGGAGAGCAGCCCCAGGAGCUCUGCCUGGGACACAGGGCCGGACCUGAGACACGCGAUCACCAGCACUCAAGGUCCAGCAAGGUCAGGGAGCUCAACCACCAGACAACCGGCUGAGAACUCGGCUGGCACCAUUUCCGGUCUCACUCAGGGGUGGCCUUGGCAACAUUCAGCAAAGGGUGUCAGUCUCAGGGAAGCACUCCUCUCCAGCUUUUCCAGCAAAGACUUCUUGGCAAGCCCAGCA